AGGCUAUAUUGCGUGUGAGGAUGUUGGAGGUAGAGAUUUAUAGCCUUUUCUCACAGCACUUGAUAUAAUUAAACUUAUCAAUUUGAUGGCGGAUCCAGAAAGGUUCAAACGACAAUCACCAGUGACAACUGGAUAUUCACCCGUUAUAAAAUGCAAAAGACUUCAGACUUCGGAGUGGCUACAGAAAAAAAAGAGACUGCAACCGGGCCCAUGCGAAAACAAGGAUAAAUAUCGGAAGGGCUUUUGAAAGGCUGUUGACGCACAUGCAGUUAGCGAGCUGGACCGUGCUGGAUUGUGGAAACAGCCAUCCAUUUCCUUCAUCGCGGCCCCCAUCAUUGCUACAAGGGUCAAUUUGGAGAGCGAAAUAAAAACAAAACGUGUGGUUCAUUUUCCUGACGAUGUCCAGCAUUGGUGAGCAAGCAGCUGUGGUGAGCCACGAGAUUCUUACAAUCACAGAAGGUUCUCAGUGGAUCCUCACCCACCAGGCCCACAUCUCGGCAAAUGAAGCACUCAGACUCAUCUGUCAAAAGAAGAAUGAGAGUUUUAACCCUGAGUAUAAGAACAGAGUGGCUCUAGCAGGAAGAGUCACCAAAGAUUUAGAUAAG
Molecule: long non-coding RNA, 605 nt
Organism: Rhinichthys klamathensis goyatoka
Lineage: Eukaryota; Metazoa; Chordata; Actinopteri; Cypriniformes; Leuciscidae
Exons: 3
Source: RefSeq, a predicted model, not a curated record